AGAUGCGAUCAUACCAGCACUAAAGCACCGGAUCCCAUCAGAACUCCGAAGUUAAGCGUGCUUGGGUGAGAGUAGUACUAGGAUGGGUGACCUCCUGGGAAGUCCUCGUGUUGCAUUCC
This 119-nucleotide ribosomal RNA is filed under the name Hordeum vulgare subsp. vulgare (domesticated barley). The record is from RNAcentral. Lineage: Eukaryota; Viridiplantae; Streptophyta; Magnoliopsida; Poales; Poaceae. RNAcentral also lists the same sequence under 1 other name.